UGUAUUCACUACUGUAAGUCGCUCUAGAUAAGAGCGUCUGCUAAAUGACUAAAC
This is a non-coding RNA of Salmo salar (Atlantic salmon), 54 nucleotides long. Lineage: Eukaryota; Metazoa; Chordata; Actinopteri; Salmoniformes; Salmonidae. The record is from Rfam.